AGGAUAGUAGUUCAGUGGUAGAGCUCUUGUCUGGCACACAUGAAGCUCCAGGUUCAAUUCCCUAUACUU
RNAcentral lists this transfer RNA (69 nucleotides) under Neotoma lepida (desert woodrat). It matches the Rfam family "tRNA". From Rfam's summary of the family: Transfer RNA (tRNA) molecules are approximately 80 nucleotides in length. Their secondary structure includes four short double-helical elements and three loops (D, anti-codon, and T loops). The record is from Rfam by way of RNAcentral. Lineage: Eukaryota; Metazoa; Chordata; Mammalia; Rodentia; Cricetidae.